This 1187-nucleotide long non-coding RNA is filed under the name Elaeis guineensis (African oil palm). Its description in RNAcentral is "long non-coding RNA (EGUI_LNC022460)". Lineage: Eukaryota; Viridiplantae; Streptophyta; Magnoliopsida; Arecales; Arecaceae. The record is from RNAcentral.
UUCUGACAGCAAAAAGGUCAUGGAUAAUGAUGAAGAUUGUGAUGACAACAACGAGGACUUUUCUUUACAUGGAAAAGAAUUACCGACAAGGCAUAUCGUUGCAAUUUUAGUCCCCAAGGAAAUCAACGAGCAAGGUCAACAACAUCCGAUCAUUUGACAUGCUUUCUCUAGAGAGUCGCAUCAUUUCAUGUCAACAGGCAAUUCAUCCACCAUAAUACCUCAACUAAGCAGUAGCUUUUUCGAAUUUUCGAAUUUAAUCAACAUUUGGACAAAUCUCCCAGAAUCCCAGCUGCUCUAUGCAUAGGGACAUGACUGGAACCCUUUGGUAAAAGUAGAUACUUCCAUGAGGAUCCCAGUUCUGCUCCGNNNNNNNNNNNNNNNNNNNNAUAUAUAUAUAUAUAUAUAUAUAUAUAUAUAUAUAUAUAUAUAUAUAUGUGUGUGUGUGUGUGUGGACAUGUAUAACCCUCGACAGCAUGCAAUCUUAGUAUAAACAGUAGCAUGACAGGCUACGGAUGAUGUGAUGACGUGUAUAUCUAUUAAAUAUUGCGCCUCUACGAAUGAGGCAGUAGUUAGAAUCUUUGGCUUCUAAACUGUGUCUCAAAGAUAAGUAUGACACCCUAUAUCCAAAUUUAGCACCUUCUUUUUUUUUACAGUCUUCCAAAUCUAGGGGAAUUUCAACAGUUGUUUCCUCGCUGCACGAACAUUCUGGAACCAAUAAUGUAGUGUUUUCUGUCUCCCAAUGGCCUUAUACGCUCAUGGGAGGCCCCUCUCUCCUAUUUUUAAAAAUUGGCUCAAUUCUUCCAUGGAGCUUUAUCAACUUAACAGCUUUCACUUUUCUGACAGCAAAAAGGUCAUGGAUAAUGACAACAACGAGGACUUUUCUUUACAUGGAAAAGAAUUACCGACUAGGCAUAUCGUUGCAAAUUUUGGUCCCCAAGGAAAUCAACAUGGAAGAGCAAGGUCAACAACAUCCGAUCAUUUGACAUUCUUUCUCUAGAGAGUCGCAUCAUUUCAUGUCAACAGGCAAUUCAUCCAUGAUGAUACCUCAACUAAGCAGUAGCUUUUUCGAAUUUAAUCAACAUUUGGACAAAUCUUCCAGAAUCCCAGCUGCUCUAUGCAUAGGGACAUGACUGGAACCCUUUGGUAAAAGUAGAUACUACUUCCAUGAGGAUCCCAGUUCUGCUCCA